Molecule: long non-coding RNA, 857 nt
Organism: Anopheles nili
Lineage: Eukaryota; Metazoa; Arthropoda; Insecta; Diptera; Culicidae
Exons: 3
Source: RefSeq, a predicted model, not a curated record
AGCUAGUGCUUCUGCUUCUCCUAGCCAGCCUGGCGAUGUUUACGACGUGGUCAGAAAGCGGAUUGGAAGCAGUGUUGUGGGAAUAAAUAAACUCAUUUAUCGUGGGCUCGUGCAAUGCACCUGAUCUGCCAGCGACGCAACACAAUAGAAAACAUCCUGCCAAGAACCUACCCACCCCCGACGGAACGAAACGGAAAAGAAAUGUUAUGCAAGAUGACUCGCAGCCUCCAGGAUCGGGCUUUCCGGUACCAAAAGGAAGAAACGAAACGAAUAAAACGCUCCCUCGCAACCAACCACGCAAGCCCCACCGAUUGCGCGAGGCAUCUGCAUCGCCCGCGGGAAGGGCACCGAAUGAAGGCAUCAGCUGUCGAUAAUCCAAUAAUGCGAACUACCGCAUCGAGCAAGUACUCGGGUACUCGGGUGCUUGGAGCGCCGCGGCGAAGGAUGUCGGCGGUGCGGAUGGAACCAAGAGGGCCCAUUGUACAGGGAGGGCACGUUCAAGUGGGGUUUCCGAGGAGCAGAAGACGAAGCCGAAGAGCCUUCACGGUAGUACCGGACGGCACGAGUUCACUGCAGGAAGGACCGCUCGCAGAAGGAGAAUAAAUAUUCCUUUGCUUACAAAUAAAUGUCGACAUCGGGGGUGAAUGUGUUUGUUUGUCCCGGCAGAACAAAUGUUGGAUGAACGUGUCCCAGCGAACUUUCUUUGUAUUUGCAGUGCCGAGAAAAAUGGCUCUCCGGCAAAGCGUUGGCAAACACACGACGCGCUGUCCAAAAUCCCCCAUUCGAGUCCGGGCUCGGGCAAAUGUGCCUCGCAAACGCAAUCGCUCCACGUGCCUGCAACUGUGCAUAAAUAAAGU